This 253-nucleotide ribosomal RNA is filed under the name uncultured bacterium. Its description in RNAcentral is "partial 16S ribosomal RNA". It matches the Rfam family "Bacterial small subunit ribosomal RNA", at positions 524 to 776 of the family's 1533-position model. The record is from RNAcentral.
UACGUAGGGUGCGAGCGUUAAUCGGAAUUACUGGGCGUAAAGCGUGCGCAGGCGGUUCGUUGUGUCGGCGGUGAAAGCCCCGGGCUCAACCUGGGAAUGGCCGUUGAAACUGGCGAACUGGAGUGUGGCAGAGGGGGGUGGAAUUCCGCGUGUAGCAGUGAAAUGCGUAGAUAUGCGGAGGAACACCGAUGGCGAAGGCAAUCCCCUGGGCCUGUACUGACGCUCAUGCACGAAAGCGUGGGGAGCAAACAGG